Molecule: ribosomal RNA, 440 nt
Filed under: uncultured bacterium
Lineage: Bacteria
Description: partial 16S ribosomal RNA
Rfam family: Bacterial small subunit ribosomal RNA
Source: RNAcentral
CCUACGGGUGGCAGCAGUGGGGAAUAUUGCACAAUGGGGGAAACCCUGAUGCAGCGACGCCGCGUGAGCGAUGAAGUAUUUCGGUAUGUAAAGCUCUAUCAUCAGGGAAGAAAAUGACGGUACCUGACUAAUAAGCCCCGGCUAACUCCGUGCCAGCAGCCGCGGUAAUACGUAGGGGGCAAGCGUUAUCCGGAUUUACUGGGUGUAACGGGCGCGUAGACGGCUGUGCAAGCCAGAUGUGAAAGCCCGGGGCUCAACCCCGGGACUGCAUUUGGAACUGUGUGGCUGGAGUGCCGGAGAGGCAGGCGGAAUUCCUAGUGUAGCGGUGAAAUGCGUAGAUAUUAGGAGGAACACCAGUGGCGAAGGCGGCCUGCUGGACGAUGACUGACGUUGAGGCUCGAAAGCGUGGGGAGCAAACAGGAUUAGAUACCCUGGUAGUC